AACGAACGCUGGCGGCAUGCCUAACACAUGCAAGUCGAACGAGACCUUCGGGUCUAGUGGCGCACGGGUGCGUAACGCGUGGGAACCUGCCCUUAGGUUCGGAAUAACUCCCCGAAAGGGGUGCUAAUACCGGAUAAUGUCUUCGGACCAAAGAUUUAUCGCCUUUGGAUGGGCCCGCGUUGGAUUAGCUAGUUGGUAGGGUAAAAGCCUACCAAGGCGACGAUCCAUAGCUGGUCUGAGAGGAUGAUCAGCCACACUGGGACUGAGACACGGCCCAGACUCGUACGGGAGGCAGCAGUGGGGAAUAUUGGAAAAUGGGCGAAAGCCUGAUCAAGCAAUGCCGCGUGAGUGAUGAAGGCCUUAGGGUUGUAAAGCUCUUUUAACCGGGAUGAUAAUGACAGUACCGGGAGAAUAAGCUCCGGCUAACUCCGUG
This 433-nucleotide ribosomal RNA is filed under the name uncultured bacterium. Its description in RNAcentral is "partial 16S ribosomal RNA". It matches the Rfam family "Bacterial small subunit ribosomal RNA", at positions 29 to 507 of the family's 1533-position model. The record is from RNAcentral.